Rosa chinensis is the source of this 1658-nucleotide long non-coding RNA. RefSeq lists it as uncharacterized. The transcript is spliced from 4 exons. NCBI's taxonomy places the organism in Eukaryota, Viridiplantae, Streptophyta, Magnoliopsida, Rosales, Rosaceae. The record is from RefSeq and is a predicted model, not a curated record.
CUCAUCUCAAUUCUCUCUAUUAUCUUACAUGGUUUUUUUCUUUAGCUAUCCAAUUGUCUCAUCUAUGCUAUAUUAUUUUGCUGGGGUUUAUUUUCAGGGUAUCUCAGAGGUGAAACCUAGAAAGAUAUCACUUUUAGUCAUGCAGUUCACUGAGAGGGAUGGAUGCAGUUUGGAUGCUACCUCCCUUGAUAAAUCUAACCCAUUUAUUGCUCGUGCAUUUCUUGAAGCUUGAAAAAGUCAGCUUCUGCAGUGAGGGUUAGCUAAACUUUGGCUUUCUGUUCACUUCAUAAAUACUAGCUUUCAUCACUUCAAAUCCCAACUGAAAAGAAGAGACGCAAACUGCCUGAAAAGUGUUUCCUGCAGAGAGUUUGAAUUCAGUACCACUGGAAGAAUCGUAACUAUAAAAUAAAUAGUUGCUGCUGUUGAACCUAUUUAAGCACAGAGAGCCCAGAGAGGUGAUAUCCCUGUGGCAACUGAUAACUGCCAUUACCUGAUGAAUAAAAGUGUCCGGAAGGCCAUAGGACUUCUAGUCCGUGAAUCAUCUCAGGUUAAGCUUGUUGUGAAACUACUACAUAAUUCUGGUCUGUUAAAAGAAGGUCUACACUAAUUUAUUGAUAUGAUAUUGAUACUAGAGAGAGACUGUUUUUGGCAAAUUUACUAGAUACGGACUAGUUCUCUGUAAAUUGUGGAUGGCUGUAUUCAAAAUUGCUGUCGAAGAUUCUGUACAUCAAUACCAUAAGCAUUAAAGAAUAGAAAACCACAGCAGUUAAAUGGAGCCCUGUGGCAUUUUGUCAAGCCAGUGUUGUUUCUAAUUGGGUGUGUACAACUCUUCUUCAGUCACCAUUUAAUGACUAAAGCCAUGGGAGGCCUCCCUGCUAUAGUCUUGCACCCGUAGUAAAUCCCAUUUGGAUAAGUCAUCAUCAUCUCUACAUGACUACAAGUCCUGAGCCGAGUCCAGCGUAGCUUUGUAAUUGUUUGUUUGCCAUAGCGAACAAGAUAAUCCAUGCAUAUGUUUCUAGAAUUCAUGGUUGGCUUUCUGAUCGCUACUCUGGGUGUGUGGAACAUCCUGGGGAAGGUGCAGUUCGUUGAAGGUACUGUUUCCAUAAUGAAGAAAAGCACCAUUGCUGUUGCAUUUUGGCCCUUUCAAGGUGUAAAUCUUCAACUUACCCUUUUGACUGUAGGGGAAAGUCGGUGGUGGAAAUGAUUGGUUGAGGACCGAGAAAAAGAGUAGAAUAUUGAGAUCUGAUGGUUAACCCCUCUAGAUCUCGUUUGGAUUGUGGAACUAACAUUCUCCAACAGUUUUUGAGAAUGCUUGCAAUCAAAAAAUGCGUAUUAAUGGUAGGGAACCAAAUCAUGAUGUGAUAUGUUAUAACAAAGAAGGAUGUUCAGAAUCUAACAAUUCCUUCUUCAAAAGAUUAGCAAUAACAAUUUAAUUAUAGUCCCUAUAUUUCGUAAUCAAUGCACAAUGCACAGAAAAAUUAAUUUAAAAUUCACUAACCGUCAACUAUAAUCCUUAAAGAUUUAGAUUCCGCAAAUGACAUGAAUUUGCUUUGUUUCCAAAACUUGUUCUUAACCCUAGUGUUUUGCCAAACAAAAGAAAAGGGUUCAGUAGCCUCAAAUUCGUGAAACCAAUCUAUGGCCUUAACUUCUCCCUUUCC